RNAcentral lists this ribosomal RNA (253 nucleotides) under uncultured bacterium. RNAcentral describes it as "partial 16S ribosomal RNA". It matches the Rfam family "Bacterial small subunit ribosomal RNA", at positions 524 to 776 of the family's 1533-position model. The record is from RNAcentral.
UACAGAGGGUGCAAGCGUUAAUCGGAAUUACUGGGCGUAAAGGGUGCGUAGGUGGCUGAAUAAGUUAGGUGUGAAAGUCCUGGGCUUAACCUGGGGAUUGCGCCUAAUACUGUUGAGCUAGAGUACUGUAGAGGAAGGUGGAAUUUCCAGUGUAGCGGUGAAAUGCGUAGAUAUUGGAAGGAACAUCUGUGGCGAAGGCGACCUUCUGGACAGAUACUGACACUGAGGCACGAAAGCGUGGGGAGCAAACAGG